AUGUGCGGCGGCGCCAUCAUCUACGACUACAUCCCGGCGCACCGCCGCCGGGUGUCCACCGCCGACUUCUGGCCCGACGCCAACGACCACUCCGACGCCCACAGCACCGCCCCCGACAAAGCGCCGCGCGCGAAGCGGGGGCGGACGAACCAGUACCGCGGCAUCCGGCAGCGGCCGUGGGGGAAGUGGGCGGCGGAGAUCCGCGACCCCGUCAAGGGCGUCCGCGUCUGGCUCGGCACCUACCCCACCGCCGAGGCCGCCGCGCGCGCCUACGACCGCGCCGCGCGCCGCAUCAGGGGCGCCAAGGCCAAGGUCAACUUCCCCAACGAGAUCCUCGUCGGCGCGCCCGCGCACGAGGCCCCGUGCACGAUGGCGGCCGUGCUCCCUUCCCCCAAGAAAGAGGAGGAGCCCGCGGCGUGCUCCUGCGAGGAGGUGAAGGCGCUCUCCGAGGAGCUGAUGGCGUACGAGAGCUACAUGAGCUUCCUCGGGGUCCCCUACAUGGAGGGCGGGGCCGCGGCCGCCCCUGCCGCCGAGGAGGCGCCGGCCGAGCUAUGGAGCUUCGAGGACAGCUACUACCCAGGGCCUCUGGGGCUCUGA
This 597-nucleotide ribosomal RNA is filed under the name Triticum aestivum (bread wheat). Its description in RNAcentral is "partial small subunit ribosomal RNA". Lineage: Eukaryota; Viridiplantae; Streptophyta; Magnoliopsida; Poales; Poaceae. The record is from RNAcentral.